GCGUGUGUGAAGAAGGCCUUCGGGUUGUAAAGCACUUUCAAUUGGGAAGAAAAGAGCAGAGUUAAUACCUCUGCUCCUUGACGGUACCAAUACAAGAAGCACCGGCUAACUCCGUGCCAGCAGCCGCGGUAAUACGGAGGGUGCAAGCGUUAAUCGGAAUUACUGGGCGUAAAGCGUGCGCAGGCGGUUUGUUAAGUCAGAUGUGAAAGCCCCGGGCUCAACUUGGGAACUGCAUUUGAUACUGGCAAACUAGAGUGUGGUAGAGGGAAGUGGAAUUCCUCAUGUAGCGGUGAAAUGCGU
RNAcentral lists this ribosomal RNA (300 nucleotides) under uncultured bacterium. RNAcentral's name for it is "bacterial SSU rRNA". It matches the Rfam family "Bacterial small subunit ribosomal RNA", at positions 399 to 691 of the family's 1533-position model. The record is from RNAcentral.